This 492-nucleotide ribosomal RNA is filed under the name uncultured bacterium. RNAcentral describes it as "partial 16S ribosomal RNA". It matches the Rfam family "Bacterial small subunit ribosomal RNA", at positions 29 to 507 of the family's 1533-position model. The record is from RNAcentral.
AGUGAACGCUGGCGGUAGGCCUAACACAUGCAAGUCGAACGGCAGCACAGUAAGAGCUUGCUCUUACGGGUGGCGAGUGGCGGACGGGUGAGGCAUACAUCGCAAUCUACUUUUUCGUGGGGGAUAACGUAGGAACACUUACGCUAAUACCGCAUACGACCUACGGGUGAAAGCAGGGGAUCUUCGGACCUUGCGCGAUUGAAUUAGCCGAUGUCGGAUUAGCUAGUUGGCGGGGUAAAGGCCCACCAAGGCGACGAUCCGUAGCUGGUCUGAGAGGAUGAUCAGCCACACUGGAACUGAGACACGGUCCAGACUCCUACGGGAGGCAGCAGUGGGGAAUAUUGGGCAAUGGGCGCAAGCCUGAUCCAGCAACACCGCGUGAGUGAAGAAGGCCUUCGGGUUGUAAAGCCCUUUUAUUAGGAAAGAAAAGAAGCAGGUUAAUAUACCGAUGUUCUGACGGUACCCAAAGAAUAAGCACCGGCUAACUUCGUG